GCUCAGAUUGAACGCUGGCGGCAUGCUUUACACAUGCAAGUCGAACGGCAGCACGAAAGAGCUUGCUCUUUUGGUGGCGAGUGGCGAACGGGUGAGUAAUACAUUGGAACGUACCGAGUAAUGGGGGAUAACUGUCCGAAAGGAUGGCUAAUACCGCAUACGCUCUGAGGAGGAAAGCGGGGGACCUUCGGGCCUCGCGUUAUUCGAGCGGCCAAUGUCUGAUUAGCUAGUUGGUGGGGUAAAGGCCUACCAAGGCGACGAUCAGUAGUGGGUCUGAGAGGAUGAUCCGCCACACUGGGACUGAGACACGGCCCAGACUCCUACGGGAGGCAGCAGUGGGGAAUUUUGGACAAUGGGCGAAAGCCUGAUCCAGCCAUGCCGCGUGUCUGAAGAAGGCCUUCGGGUUGUAAAGGACUUUUGUCAGGGAAGAAAGGGUUUGGGUUAAUACCCUGAGCUUAUGACGGUA
Molecule: ribosomal RNA, 466 nt
Filed under: uncultured Neisseria sp.
Lineage: Bacteria; Pseudomonadati; Pseudomonadota; Betaproteobacteria; Neisseriales; Neisseriaceae
Description: bacterial SSU rRNA
Rfam family: Bacterial small subunit ribosomal RNA
Source: RNAcentral